GCAAAGUUGUGUAGUGCGAUCGGUGGAUGCCUUGGCACCAAGAGCCGAUGAAGGACGUUGUGACCUGCGAUAAGCCCUGGGGAGUUGGUGAGCGAGCUGUGAUCCGGGGGUGUCCGAAUGGGGAAACCUGGAAUGUCCGGAGUAGUGUCCGGUGGCCCUGCCCUGAAUGUAUAGGGGUGUGGGUGGUAACGCGGGGAAGUGAAACAUCUUAGUACCCGUAGGAAGAGAAAACAAGUGUGAUUCCGUGAGUAGUGGCGAGCGAAAGCGGAGGAGGCUAAACCGUGUGUGUGUUCAAGCCGGCAGGUGUUGCAUGUGCGGGGUUGUGGGGGCCUUGUGGUUCUGCUGCCGCAGGAUUGGCCAGUGAGAAAUGUUGCGUGAAGGUGAAGCGUCUGGGAAGGCGUACCGGAGUGGGUGAGAGUCCUGUAACUGUAAGCGUGGCACUGGUGUGGGGUUGCCCCGAGUAGCGUGGGACUCGUGGAAUUUCGCGUGAAUCUGGCGGGACCACCCGUCAAGCCUAAAUACUCCUUGGUGACCGAUAGUGGAUGAGUACCGUGAGGGAAGGGUGAAAAGUACCCCGGGAGGGGAGUGAAAGAGUUCCUGAAACCGGUCGCAUGCAAGCCGUCAGAGCCUGUGUGGUGAUGGCGUGCCUUUUGAAGAAUGAGCCUGCGAGUUAGUGAUGCGUGGCGAGGUUAACCCGUGGUGGGGGAGUCGUAGCGAAAGCGAGUCCGAUAAGGGCGUGAGUCGCGUGUUCUAGACCCGAAGCGGUGUGAUCUAUCCAUGGCCAGGAUGAAGCGUCGGUAAGACGUCGUGGAGGUCCGAACCCACUUCAGUUGAAAAUGGAGGGGAUGAGUUGUGGAUAGGGGUGAAAGGCCAAUCAAACACCGUGAUAGCUGGUUCUCCCCGAAAUGCAUUUAGGUGCAGCGUUGCGUGGUUCUUGUUGGAGGUAGAGCACUGGAUGGUCUAGGGGGCUUAUCGGCUUACCGAAAUCAGCCAAACUCCGAAUGCUGGCAAGUGUAGCGUGGCAGUGAGACGGCGGGGGAUAAGCUUCGUCGUCGAGAGGGAAACAGCCCAGAUCAUCAGCUAAGGCCCCUAAGUGGUGACUCAGUGGGAAAGGAUGUGGAGUUGCGUAGACAACCAGGAGGUUGGCUUGGAAGCAGCCAUCCUUGAAAGAGUGCGUAAUAGCUCACUGGUCAAGUGAUUCCGCGCCGAUAAUGUAGCGGGGCUUAAGUUAUCCGCCGAAGCUGUGGCAACCUGUGUGGUUGGGUAGGGGAGCGUCGUGUCAGUGGUGAAGCUGCCGGGUGACUGUGUGGUGGAGUUGAUGCGAGUGAGAAUGCAGGCAUGAGUAGCGUGUGACGGGUGGGAAUCCCGUCCGCCGAUUAUCCAAGGGUUCCAGGGUCAAGUUUGUCUGCCCUGGGUGAGUCGGGUCCUAAGGCGAGGCCGACAGGCGUAGUCGAUGGGUAACCAGUUGAUAUUCUGGUACCGGCUUGUCACCGUCCGUGUCGAGGUGUGUGAUGCUAAGCAUGUGAGCUUGUCUUGGGAGUGUUUUUGAUGCUUCUGGGGUGGGUGAGUGUGUGAACCGAUCAUGUAGUAGGCAAGCUGCGGAGGGACGCAGUGAGGUAGCUCAUCCCCGGUGAUGGUUGUCCGGGGCUAAGUGUGUGGACUGUCUGGUAGGUAAAUCCGCUGGGCGUGAAGGUUGAGGCAUGAUGGGGAGCCCAUGGUUGUGGGUGAGUGAGUGAUCCUGUACUGUCGAGAAAAGCUUCGUGAGCGAGGUGGCGGGUCCGCCCGUACCCUAAACCGACACUGGUGGAUAGGUAGAGUAUACCGAGGCGAUCGAGUGAAUCGUGGUGAAGGAACUCGGCAAAAUGCCCCCGUAACUUUGGGAUAAGGGGGACCUGAGCUGUCGUGCACCCGUGCGGUGUGGUGGCGGGGAGGGGCGCAGAGUCCAGGGGGAAACGACUGUUUACCAAAAACACAGGUCCGUGCGAAGUCGUAAGACGAUGUAUACGGACUGACUCCUGCCCGGUGCUGGAAGGUUAAGGGGAACUGUGAGUGUAUGCGUAGCGGUGAACUUAAGCCCCAGUAAACGGCGGUGGUAACUAUAACCAUCCUAAGGUAGCGAAAUUCCUUGUCGGGUA
This 2135-nucleotide ribosomal RNA is filed under the name Cutibacterium acnes. Its description in RNAcentral is "bacterial LSU rRNA". It matches the Rfam family "Bacterial large subunit ribosomal RNA", at positions 1 to 1978 of the family's 2925-position model. Lineage: Bacteria; Bacillati; Actinomycetota; Actinomycetes; Propionibacteriales; Propionibacteriaceae. The record is from RNAcentral.